RNAcentral lists this transfer RNA (80 nucleotides) under Halobacterium noricense. Its description in RNAcentral is "tRNA-Arg". It matches the Rfam family "tRNA". Rfam says of the family: Transfer RNA (tRNA) molecules are approximately 80 nucleotides in length. Their secondary structure includes four short double-helical elements and three loops (D, anti-codon, and T loops). Lineage: Archaea; Methanobacteriati; Methanobacteriota; Halobacteria; Halobacteriales; Halobacteriaceae. RNAcentral also lists the same sequence under 2 other names. The record is from RNAcentral.
UGUUCCCGUAGCUCAGUCAGGACAGAGCACCGGCCUUCGAAGCCGGGUGUCGCACGUUCGAAUCGUGCCGGGAACGUCCA